GAAAACCCCCCGCUAUGCAAUUUUUCAAUAAACCCCUUCCACAGCCCCGAACCCUAACCCCCUCUCCUUCCACCGCCCCGCCCUCUCCCUCCCUCUCCUGCUCCGGCCACCUCCCUCUUUGAUCUCUGACUCCCCGUCGUCGCCUCCCUUCCCCUUCUCCCUCUCCGCUUGCCUCUGUUGCCCCUCCCGCCACCGCUCCUCUUACUCUUGUCGCCACCGCCCGCUCCCGCGGGAUCCACGCCGCCCUCAACCCCAACCCCGUCGCCUCCUCUCUCACUGUACCCCAGCAGCGCCUCCUCUCCUCUCUUUCCUGGCGCCUUCUUCCCGGCGGCGCCCCUCACCCCUACGCGCGGCACGGGCCGGCGUGGAUUCGGCGCCUUCUUCCCUGCUGUGCCCCUCCUGCCCCUCACCCCUCGGUGCGGCACGGGCCGGCAUGGAUGCGGGGGUCCUGCUCGCGGCGCGGCCCGCAGUGGCUGCGUGCGGGUGACAGAGGCACGGUCGGGCGGGCCCGGGAGCAGAGCGGGCGCAGGAGCAGAGGCCGCGCAGCAGCGGCGUGGCGUAGGCCAGGAGGCGGGCGCGGCGCGGGUGUGCAGGAGGACCAGCGGCGCGGCCGGCGAGGGGCGUGCGUUGGCAGCACCAGCAGCGACGCGACGCGGAUCGGGUAGCGGAGGAGCAUGGCGUCGAGGUCCAUCCCCGGCGCCUCCUGGGUCUCCUCCCGAGGCUCGGUGACGUCGAGAGCGCGGCGCCGGGCAGCCAAGGCAGCAAAGGAAGCGGCGGCUGCUGCGGUGCGCGAGGAGGCAUCAGCCCUCCAGAUGACGGCCGUGCCGGCUCACCCCUUCGCAUGUGGCCACGUCGCUCUCGGAACAAGAGCAGAUCCAGCGAGCCGUGGGGAAGGGGAAGCAACGGUAUAGUAGCGCGGCCAUUCCGACAACAAACUACGGCGUUGGCCUAUGACCGUGGCGAGCAAAGAACUGAUGUGCACGCGGAGCGACAGCCUGGUGGCAAGGCAGCAAUGUGAGAUGAGCUCAAAGAAGGAUGGCAGAAGCAUGAAGAACAACCAGGAGCUGAUCAAGGUUAUGGAGUGCUGCAAAAGCUUCUCGUCCUCUUUCCCCACUGACUAUUAAGUUUGAGUAGCCUCCGUGCAUCACAUCCCAUCAGGAUGUUUCGUGUUAAGAAAAUGUAAUGCAUAUUUUAUUUUCUAAUUGCGAAUGUGCUUUUCUCGAACCAAUUGUGAAUGUCCUUUCACAUGAGCCAAUUGGAAUACCUCAACUCAGUUUAAAAUUUGCUUUGGUGUAUUAA
Long non-coding RNA from Panicum hallii, 1299 nucleotides. RefSeq lists it as uncharacterized. Lineage: Eukaryota; Viridiplantae; Streptophyta; Magnoliopsida; Poales; Poaceae. The transcript is spliced from 3 exons. The record is from RefSeq and is a predicted model, not a curated record.